ACUGCUCAGUAACACGUGGACAACCUGCCCUUAGGACGGGGAUAAACCCGGGAAACUGGGUAUAAUACCCGAUAGGUCUCGAUUGCUGGAAUGCAUCGAGAUUUAAAGCUCCGGCGCCUAAGGAUGGGUCUGCGGCCUAUCAGGUAGUAGUGGGUGUAGCGUACCUACUAGCCUACGACGGGUACGGGUUGUGAGAGCAAGAGCCCGGAGAUGGAUUCUGAGACACGAAUCCAGGCCCUACGGGGUGCAGCAGGCGCGAAAACUUUACAAUGCUGGCAACAGCGAUAAGGGAACCUCGAGUGCCAGGUUACAAAUCUGGCUGUCGAGAUGCCCAAAGAGCAUUUCAUAGCAAGGGCCGGGCAAGACCGGUGCCAGCCGCCGCGGUAACACCGGCGGCUCGAGUGGUAACCGUUAUUAUUGGGUCUAAAGGGUCUGUAGCCGGCCGGAUAAGUCUCUUGAGAAAUCUGGCAGCUUAACUGUCAGGCUUUCAGGAGAUACUGUCUGGCUCGAGGCCGGGAGAGGUGAGAGGUACUUCAGGGGUAGGGGUGAAAUCUUGUAAUCCUUGAAGGACCACCAGUGGCGAAGGCGUCUCACCAGAACGGACCUGACGGCAAGGGACGAAAGCUAGGGGCACGAACCGGAUUAGAUACCCGGGUAGUCCUAGCCGUAAACGAUACUCGCUAGGUGUCGGCCACGGUGCGACCGUUGUCGGUGCCGUAGGGAAGCCGUGAAGCGAGCCACCUGGGAAGUACGGCCGCAAGGCUGAAACUUAAAGGAAUUGGCGGGGGAGCAC
RNAcentral lists this ribosomal RNA (793 nucleotides) under uncultured archaeon. RNAcentral describes it as "bacterial SSU rRNA". It matches the Rfam family "Archaeal small subunit ribosomal RNA", at positions 85 to 879 of the family's 1478-position model. The record is from RNAcentral.